Molecule: ribosomal RNA, 499 nt
Filed under: uncultured soil bacterium
Lineage: Bacteria
Description: bacterial SSU rRNA
Rfam family: Bacterial small subunit ribosomal RNA
Source: RNAcentral
AGAUUGAACGCUGGCGGCAGGCCUAACACAUGCAAGUCGAGCGGCAGCACGGGUACUUGUACCUGGUGGCGAGCGGCGGACGGGUGAGUAAUGCCUAGGAAUCUGCCUGGUAGUGGGGGAUAACGCUCGGAAACGGACGCUAAUACCGCAUACGUCCUACGGGAGAAAGCAGGGGACCUUCGGGCCUUGCGCUAUCAGAUGAGCCUAGGUCGGAUUAGCUAGUUGGUGAGGUAAUGGCUCACCAAGGCGACGAUCCGUAACUGGCCUGAGAGGAUGAUCAGUCACACUGGAACUGAGACACGGUCCAGACUCCUACGGGAGCAGCAGUGGGGAAUAGUUGGACAAUGGGACGAAAGCCUGAUCCAGCCAUGCCGCGUGUGUGAAGAAGGUCUUCGGAUUAGUAAAACACGUUUUAAGUUGGGAGGAAGGCAGUUACCUAAUACGUAUCUGUUUUAGACGUUACGACAGAAUAAGCACCGGCUAACUCUGUGCCAGCACG